AGCGUACACGGUGGAUGCCCUGGCAGUCAGAGGCGAUGAAGGACGUGCUAAUCUGCGAUAAGCGUCGGUGAGGUGAUAUGAACCGUUAUAACCGGCGAUUUCCGAAUGGGGAAACCCAGUGUGUUUCGACACACUAUCAUUAACUGAAUCCAUAGGUUAAUGAGGCGAACCGGGGGAACUGAAACAUCUAAGUACCCCGAGGAAAAGAAAUCAACCGAGAUUCCCCCAGUAGCGGCGAGCGAACGGGGAGGAGCCCAGAGCCUGAAUCAGUGUGUGUGUUAGUGGAAGCGUCUGGAAAGGCGCGCGAUACAGGGUGACAGCCCCGUACACAAAAAUGCACAUGCUGUGAGCUCGAUGAGUAGGGCGGGACACGUGGUAUCCUGUCUGAAUAUGGGGGGACCAUCCUCCAAGGCUAAAUACUCCUGACUGACCGAUAGUGAACCAGUACCGUGAGGGAAAGGCGAAAAGAACCCCGGCGAGGGGAGUGAAAAAGAACCUGAAACCGUGUACGUACAAGCAGUGGGAGCCUCUUAAUGGGGUGACUGCGUACCUUUUGUAUAAUGGGUCAGCGACUUAUAUUCUGUAGCAAGGUUAACCGAAUAGGGGAGCCGAAGGGAAACCGAGUCUUAACUGGGCGUUAAGUUGCAGGGUAUAGACCCGAAACCCGGUGAUCUAGCCAUGGGCAGGUUGAAGGUUGGGUAACACUAACUGGAGGACCGAACCGACUAAUGUUGAAAAAUUAGCGGAUGACUUGUGGCUGGGGGUGAAAGGCCAAUCAAACCGGGAGAUAGCUGGUUCUCCCCGAAAGCUAUUUAGGUAGCGCCUCGUGAAUUCAUCUCCGGGGGUAGAGCACUGUUUCGGCAAGGGGGUCAUCCCGACUUACCAACCCGAUGCAAACUGCGAAUACCGGAGAAUGUUAUCACGGGAGACACACGGCGGGUGCUAACGUCCGUCGUGAAGAGGGAAACAACCCAGACCGCCAGCUAAGGUCCCAAAGUCAUGGUUAAGUGGGAAACGAUGUGGGAAGGCCCAGACAGCCAGGAUGUUGGCUUAGAAGCAGCCAUCAUUUAAAGAAAGCGUAAUAGCUCACUGGUCGAGUCGGCCUGCGCGGAAGAUGUAACGGGGCUAAACCAUGCACCGAAGCUGCGGCAGCGACGCUUAUGCGUUGUUGGGUAGGGGAGCGUUCUGUAAGCCUGUGAAGGUGUACUGUGAGGUAUGCUGGAGGUAUCAGAAGUGCGAAUGCUGACAUAAGUAACGAUAAAGCGGGUGAAAAGCCCGCUCGCCGGAAGACCAAGGGUUCCUGUCCAACGUUAAUCGGGGCAGGGUGAGUCGACCCCUAAGGCGAGGCCGAAAGGCGUAGUCGAUGGGAAACAGGUUAAUAUUCCUGUACUUGGUGUUACUGCGAAGGGGGGACGGAGAAGGCUAUGUUGGCCGGGCGACGGUUGUCCCGGUUUAAGCGUGUAGGCUGGUUUUCCAGGCAAAUCCGGAAAACCAAGGCUGAGGCGUGAUGACGAGGCACUACGGUGCUGAAGCGACAAAUGCCCUGCUUCCAGGAAAAGCCUCUAAGCAUCAGGUAACAUCAAAUCGUACCCCAAACCGACACAGGUGGUCAGGUAGAGAAUACCAAGGCGCUUGAGAGAACUCGGGUGAAGGAACUAGGCAAAAUGGUGCCGUAACUUCGGGAGAAGGCACGCUGAUAUGUAGGUGAAGCGACUUGCUCGUGGAGCUGAAAUCAGUCGAAGAUACCAGCUGGCUGCAACUGUUUAUUAAAAACACAGCACUGUGCAAACACGAAAGUGGACGUAUACGGUGUGACGCCUGCCCGGUGCCGGAAGGUUAAUUGAUGGGGUUAGCGGUAACGCGAAGCUCUUGAUCGAAGCCCCGGUAAACGGCGGCCGUAACUAUAACGGUCCUAAGGUAGCGAAAUUCCUUGUCGGGUAAGUUCCGACCUGCACGAAUGGCGUAAUGAUGGCCAGGCUGUCUCCACCCGAGACUCAGUGAAAUUGAACUCGCUGUGAAGAUGCAGUGUACCCGCGGCAAGACGGAAAGACCCCGUGAACCUUUACUAUAGCUUGACACUGAACAUUGAGCCUUGAUGUGUAGGAUAGGUGGGAGGCUUUGAAGUGUGGACGCCAGUCUGCAUGGAGCCGACCUUGAAAUACCACCCUUUAAUGUUUGAUGUUCUAACGUUGGCCCGUAAUCCGGGUUGCGGACAGUGUCUGGUGGGUAGUUUGACUGGGGCGGUCUCCUCCUAAAGAGUAACGGAGGAGCACGAAGGUUGGCUAAUCCUGGUCGGACAUCAGGAGGUUAGUGCAAUGGCAUAAGCCAGCUUGACUGCGAGCGUGACGGCGCGAGCAGGUGCGAAAGCAGGUCAUAGUGAUCCGGUGGUUCUGAAUGGAAGGGCCAUCGCUCAACGGAUAAAAGGUACUCCGGGGAUAACAGGCUGAUACCGCCCAAGAGUUCAUAUCGACGGCGGUGUUUGGCACCUCGAUGUCGGCUCAUCACAUCCUGGGGCUGAAGUAGGUCCCAAGGGUAUGGCUGUUCGCCAUUUAAAGUGGUACGCGAGCUGGGUUUAGAACGUCGUGAGACAGUUCGGUCCCUAUCUGCCGUGGGCGCUGGAGAACUGAGGGGGGCUGCUCCUAGUACGAGAGGACCGGAGUGGACGCAUCACUGGUGUUCGGGUUGUCAUGCCAAUGGCACUGCCCGGUAGCUAAAUGCGGAAGAGAUAAGUGCUGAAAGCAUCUAAGCACGAAACUUGCCCCGAGAUGAGUUCU
This 2774-nucleotide ribosomal RNA is filed under the name Escherichia coli. Its description in RNAcentral is "bacterial LSU rRNA". It matches the Rfam family "Bacterial large subunit ribosomal RNA". The record is from RNAcentral. Lineage: Bacteria; Pseudomonadati; Pseudomonadota; Gammaproteobacteria; Enterobacterales; Enterobacteriaceae.